Non-coding RNA from Ictidomys tridecemlineatus (thirteen-lined ground squirrel), 69 nucleotides. The record is from Rfam. Lineage: Eukaryota; Metazoa; Chordata; Mammalia; Rodentia; Sciuridae.
GGGGAUGUGGCUCAAGCGGUAGCGCGCUCGCCUGGUAAGCGUGCGGCCCGGGUUCGAUCCCCAGCACCA